RNAcentral lists this long non-coding RNA (9574 nucleotides) under Homo sapiens (human). RNAcentral's name for it is "non-protein coding lnc-IMPAD1-1:2". Lineage: Eukaryota; Metazoa; Chordata; Mammalia; Primates; Hominidae. The record is from RNAcentral.
CAAAAACAUACCUGAGAGAGGGUAAUUUAAAUGGAAAAAAGAUUAAUGGACUCACAGUUCCACAUGGCUGGGGACACUUCACAAUCAUGACAGAAGGCGAAAGGCAAGUCUCACAUAACAGAUCAAAAUGGGCAAGGUUUAGCAGCUCCAUCAUCUUUCUUUGAGAACACUCGACCGGUGGAGUAAGAAUGCCUCAAGUAAGCACGUGUAAGAUUCCAGACAUCGCACUGUGUAUGCCACACACCCCGCCCAAAGAGCUCACUGGCCGCUGCACUGGUGAACAGCCCCACUCAAGGGAAGGAUCAGGGCAGAGGCAAUGACGCCAACUCAGAAGCAUGCCAAUGAAGGAGAAUCCAAGUCAAAAAUAAUACCAUGAACUCGAUUCAUCAAGUCACCCACUACACCCUCUUCCAACUGUAUCUUGCUUCCAUUCCUUCCUGCUCCAAAGUGUUGAAGAAGCUAUCACUCCUACUCUUAAUCUAACUGUCCUGUUAUGCCCUAGCAACAACUUCUCACAAGCCUUUUGGGGCAGUCUGAACAGCUGUCAGGAUAGAGCCUAGUACUGUGGCCCUUUAAAGACCCCACCUACUUGCUCGUUUCCAGUCAUUGCCCCUCUGGGAAGAGGGAAGAUUCUUCCUUCACCCAGGGUGAGUUUUCACCCCUAACCACAAGUGCUCCAGAGUUUACUACCUUAUGUAAACAAGACAUUAAAUGUAAACCUCUCAUUUCCACUGUUUGCCAUGACAUCAUCUCAGGUGUUCCUGGCGCCCACCAGGCAAUCUCCCGAAGCACUCCUUCUGCUGUCCAUGCAAUGUUCUUAAGUCUUCUUUCUGCCCAGUGUGCAAUCUUCCUGGAUGGCCCUUCUGUCACACGUUCACGUCUGACAGAGGUUUCUUCUGCCAAACACUGAAUCUUCUCGGACGUUCUUCUGCCAAAUGUGCAAUCCUGUCAGACAUUCCAGUCACUCUAGGUAACUGGUCUGACAUAAGCAGGGUAUGAGGGGCUUCCCCCACCACCACGAGAAAUGUCAGACAACCAUUAGAUGACGGCCAGGCAGUUGUUGAAAUGUUUCUAUGGAAGAAAACCAUUCGCAGCCUGCCGGUGCCAAAAAAGGGCAGCCUCCCAAAGAACAAAAGAGCCGGAAGGUGGACAUCAGCAGCUUCCCAGUAAAAUCCCAGGACUCGGGCACAUGGGCUAAUGCGGGACACCCUGCCAGCCACACCGGCAGGGCUGAGCAGCUCAGUCUCCUUCCUCUGAGAUCAGUCGACAGGUAGGGGAAGAACGCCUCAAGUGAGCAUGCCUAAGACUAGGAACCGCACUGUGCCUGCAACGCCCCCCGCCCACGGUCUGACAGGCCGUGGUGCCAGUCGACAGCCCCACCCGAAGGAAGGAUCGGCAGAGAGGCAACAACGCCACCCCGGAAGCCUGCUAAUGGAGGAGAUCCAGAAUCGAAGGUCAAACCCUGCACUCCAUCCCUCAGGUUGCCCGCUUCGCCCUCUUCCAACUGUAUCUCACUUCCUUUCCUUCCUGCUCCAAAGUGCUGAAGCAGCUUUCACUCCUGCUCUUCACUGUGCCUUCCUCUUACACCCCAGGACCAACUUCUCAGGGGGCUUUUGGGGCAGUCUGUACCGACACCUGCAUAGGGCCUCGUUCUGUGGCCCUUUAGGGACCCCACCUUCAUGCUCAUUUCCAGUCAGUGCCCCUCUGGGAACAGGGAAGACUCUUCCUUCAAUCCAGCUGUGUUUUUGCCCCAGGCCACAAGUGCUCCAGAGGUGACUACCUUAUGUCAGGUUGACAUUGAACGUGGCCCUCUUGAGUCCGAGGGCAGCUCUUUUGGCGAGUGCAGCAAGGCUUUCCAUGAGUCUUCCUCUCUCGCUUCCUCCCACUUCUGCCUGUAGCCUGGAUUUCUCUACUCGUGGCCAUGCCCUUCUCCAGAUGCUUCCAAGCCUUCCAGGUCCACUCUGAAGGGAGAAAUUUCCAGCCCCCUUGUGGCAGCUAGCUGAAAAACAGGCUCCUCGUCUACUGUGAGAACCUGGGAAGCGGGAAUCAGACAGUGGAGAUCAUCAUUGUCUUGCUGGAACGCUCUCAGGCACAGUCACUCUCAUUUCACAGAGACAAGGACAGAGGCCGGACCAAGGCCACAGGCGCAACAGACCCAUAGCACCCAGACCCAAACUGAUCUCCGGCUAACACACGGCCAUUAGAGCAGGGAGGAAGGCAAGGGCAGGGGUACAUGGUAACACUGGUUCAUUCUGGGACCCUGGGGAUGAACGGGGCUCCCCUGACCCUGUUCACUCUAGCACCUCCUCUCUUCUGCAGUGGGUGAUCAUGACGAGAUGGGACCAGGGUUGGCAGGGACACAGUAAGAACGAGACAUCCCGGAGCCCUAAGGACGAAUGGCGGAUACCCUACUCAGGAUCCUGGGAAAGUUCACAGAGCCUAAGCAUGUUGGAGACGGUCCUUGUAGCCAACAGAAACGUUCCUGAAACGGGAUCCGGGAAAGAAACGCCAUGCGGUUUGAAAGGUUGUUAGGUCUGUUAAAUGCUUCCGGAAUCAAUGCUUUACCGGAGGUCAGUCGGGACCAUUUGCUUACACGUCAUCUCUGACUGCUUCCACGCUACUACGGCAGGCUUCAGCAGACACGACAGAGACCACGGGGCCUACGAGUGCUUCCCACCUGGCCCUUUACAGGAAGAGCUGGCCAAUCCCUGUGUCACACCGUGACCGGAAAGCCCUAAUACUCACCGCUCAUCUUCUGACUCCCCUGCUCAAAAGCUUCCCAUGAUUUUCUGCAGGAAACCUGGCUGGCUCCCUAUCCACGGAAUUUCUUUCUUCUUUCUCGCUGGAGAAAUGCAAGGUUAUCGUGAUCUUUAUCACUCCCUCAACCCACCCCAGCUCCCGAAGGAGGAAUGAUCAUUCUAAGCUCAUCACAGCAAUCACAUGGUUUUCCCCAGUGACCGGCUUAGCAGUCGGCAUGUGCUGUAACCCAGCCCAUACGAUGUUACCAGAAGUUCACCGCGAGCUGCUGACUUGACUGCCUCUUCAAAAGACACCUGGGAAGAAAAGCAACCCCUCCAGCCUUCGGAUACUGCCUUCAGAGAACACACCAACUGCAGCUGUUGCUACUCGGCCCGCCAGCAAAGCAGACAUGAACUAAACACUGCCCACAGCACAGCUGGAAGGGAAAACAUGAGCAUGACACGACGAUGCUGACACAAUUCUGGUGCCUAUGGCUUCAGCCGCUCUUACUUGGGUCAUCUACUAUUUACAGCCACGAGCAUCCUGAGAAUGUGGCCGUGGCCCACAGAAUAUAUCCUCUACCCCUUCUGCUCUGGACCGCUCAAAAAUCUACCCUCAGCUCGCCUUUUCUAGACAUUCAAACCACACCCAACCAUUCCCGUACCACACUCUUGCCACCAGCAACACUGAGCUGCUCUCGAACCCGACAGAGUUCACGCGAGCCUCUGACCUUUGGAACUUGCCAUUCCUUCGGGCAAGCAGGCAAUCUUUUCCCGAUGCUCCUGCGAAUCCUGCGACCUUCUCAGACGUUCUCUCCACCAUACCUGUUCUCUCCGUUCCACCCUGCCAGAUGUCUAUUCGGACAAAACGUUCCGUCUUCUCGCAUGUCUCCUCUGCCAAACCACGGAUCCCGUCACAUGGCUCUUCUGCAAAACAUUCGAUCUCGUCAGAUGUGUCUUCCGCCAACCACUCCAUCCUGCCAGAUGUUUCUGUGUUACCGUGGGCGGCUGGUCAGACAGGAGCAGCGCGGGAGAGGGCCACGCCCACACCCCACCAGACACAUCAGGCGACCAGGAGGCGACGGGUCAGGCUGCCAUUAAACUACCUGUCUCAAAUAAUAAAUGAUUGCCGGGAGCCGGUGCCAGGGACGGGCGGUCCCCCAGACAGACAGAAACCCCGGAAGGUGGCGAUUAGCAGCUCCCUGAGAAGAUCUCAGGGGGCGCGUGACGGGGCUCAUGCUUGCACACUCACAGGCAAACCGGCCGGGUUUUACUGUCCUACGACCCUCCCCAGGCAACAUCCGACUGCCAAGGGAGGCACGCCUCAUGUGAGCGCCCCUAUGACUCCAGGAAACACGCCACGCCUGCGGUCCCUCCCAGGUGAUGACAGGCCACUGCCCAUGUGGAUGGCCCACCCUGAGAAAAGGCUCAGGGGAGGAAGCAAUGCAACCCCUGGCUCUUGGAAGCCUGCCAAUGUGUGAGACCUCGCCUCAAAGGUCGAACAAAGCGUGCCCCCGACCUCUCCAGUUGCCCACAUGGCCCUCUUCCAAGUAUACCUUACUGCCUCGUCUUUCUGCUCUGGUACCAUCUGGGAGACCUGCACUCCUGCGCUCAAACAGGCCUCGGUCUCUUUCACUCCGCCUCACGCCCCUCAGUUAAACUCCCUCUGAUGAGGUGAGAGCUCGGGUUGCUGCCUGCAGGCCCCUAUGGAUCUGCCACCGCUGACAUCCCUACCGCCAAACGCUCCAUCUUGGUGGAUGUUUUCUCUCCCAGAUGUUCCCUCUUUCCAGAUGCUUCCUUUGCAAGCCACGCACUCUUCCUAGGCAUUCCGUCUGCCCACCAUGGAAUCUGCUCAGAGGUUCCUUCUGCCCACCGUGCGACCUGCUAAAGGGUUUCUGCUGUCUACCAUGUCAUCUUCACACUUGGGCCUUCUGCCAAACGUGCAAUCUACCUGAGGGUUCCCUCUGCCAAACAGCCAGUUGCGUCCACUUCUUCCCCUGACAAGCAUUCAGUUUUGUCUGGCGCACCAUGGGCCCAAUACUUCCUCUACCCAGAUGUCUCUUGGGCAGGCCUUGCAAUCUCCCUAGGGCAUCCAACUGCUGAUCCCGCAGUCUUCUCACGGGUUCCCUUGCCCCCCAGCACCCCUGCAAUCACCCUACCCUAAGGUUUCCUCCUGCUGACCAUGCGAUGUUCUUAGCCGUUCCUUCUGAAAUCGCUGCAGUCUGCUUAGAUGUUCCCUCUGCCACACGCUCAGGGCUGUCAGAUGUUCCUUCCACCAGACACUCCAUCUCGUCGGAUGAUCUGCCACGCGUUCAAUCCUGUCAGGUGUCCCUCUCAGUCACACGUGUGGAGCGGGGCCCGAGAGGGUUCCCCACCACCAGUAAACAUCAGGCAGCCACAAGGUGAUGGCCCGGUGGUCACGAAGCAGACUCUCUAGAGAAAUCACUGAUCACAGGCAGCACCAGGGAAAGGCAGUCCCCCUCCCCGACAGCAGUCACGAACCUCAGAAGCCUCCCCAGCACACCUCGGGAGUUGGGUGAAUGGGCUCAUACGUGCACCCUGAGAGGCAAACUGGUGGAAGGUUCACUGAUCUGGGAUGUUUUCCCCUGGGCACAUUCAUCUGCUUGUGGGACGAACGCCUCAAGAGAGCAUGAGAACAACUCCAGUAAGCACACGGCGCCUCCGCGCCCCCAUGAGAUGGUGACAGGCCACUGUGCUAGUGAACAGCCCCCUCUUCCCCGCCGAGGGAAGCAUCAGAGGACAGGCAGCGAUGCUGCCGACGCGGGAGACCCUGAGUCCAAGGUCCAGUCCUGUACUCCACCUCUCAGGUCACCGCCCACCUGGGCCUCUUCCAAGCCUCCUUGACUUCCUUUGGCUCCUGCCACGAUACCAUUUCAGGAACUUUCGCCCCUGCUCUAAUGCGUGCCUCGGUCUCUCACUCUACCGUGUGCCACUCGAUGUCUUUCUUCUCAGGAGGCAGGAACCGAGGUUGCCACAGGCCCAUACGCGUCUGUCGCCGCUCACGGGCCUGCUGCCAAACGUGGAAUCUUGCCCAAUGUGUCCUCUGCCAGACAUGCCAUCUCUUCAGAUGCUUCUUUCGCAGGCCACGCGCUUGCAAGCUUCCUAUGUUUUCCUCCCCACCGCUGUGCCAUCGGCUGCAAUUUUUCUGCUGUCCACCAUGGCAACCUUCUCACGUGUUCCUUCUGCCACACAUGCAAUCUCCCUACCGUGCGACCUGCUAAAGGCUUUCUGCUGUCUUCCAUGUCAUCUUCACACUUGGGCCUUCUGCCCAACGUGCAAUCUACCUGAGUGUUCCUUCUGCCAAACAGCCAACUGCGUCCAUUCCUUCCCCUGACAAGUGCUCAGUAUUAUCCGGCGCACCGUGGGCCCAAUACUUCCUCUUCCCAGAUGUCUCUCGGGCAGGCCUUGCAAUCUGCCUAGGGUGUCCAACUGCCGAUCCCUCAGUCUUCUCAUGGGUUCCCUUGCCCCACCAUACCCCUGCAAUCUUCCUACCCUAAGGUUUCCUCCUGCUGACCAUGUGAUGUUCUUAGCCAUUCCUUCCUAAAACACUGCAAUCUGCUUAGAUGUUCCCUCUGCCACAUGCUCAGGGCUGUCAGACGUUCCUUUCCCAGACACUCCAUCUCGUUUGAUGAUCUUCUGGCACACGUUCAAUCCUGUCAGGUGUCCCUCUCAGUCACACGUGCAGAGUGGGGCCCGAGAGGGUUCCCCACCACCAGAAAACAUCAGGUGGCUGCGAGGUGAUGCUCAGGUGUUCGUGAAGCAGACUCUCUAGAGAUAUCACUGGUCGCACGCGGCGCCAGGGAAAGGCAGCCCCGCCACCCCCCACAGCUAUCAGGAACGUCGGAAGCCUCUCCGGCAGACCUCGAGUGUCAGGUGAGUGGGCUCUCGUACGCACCCUGAGAGGCAAACUGGUGGGAGGUUCACUGCUUUACGACCUUUACCUCGGGCACAUUCGUCUGCUUACAGGAGGAACGCCUCAAGCGACCAUGCGAACAACUCCAGUGAGCACACGGCGCCUGCGCUGCCACCCGCACCCCCCCAAAAGGUGCUGACAGGCCACUGCGCCAGUGCACAGCACUGCCCUUCCCCCACCAAGGGAAGCAUCAGGGGACUGGCAGCGAUGCCGCCAGUGGGGGAGACCCCAAGUCCACAGUCCAGCCCUGCACUCCACCUCUCAGGUCGCUGCCCACCUGGGCCUCUUCCAAGCCUCCUUGACUUCCUUUGGCUCCUGCCACCAUACCAUUUCAGGAACUUUUGCCUCUGCUCUUAUGCGUGCCUCGGUCUCUCCCUCUGCCUUGUGCCCCUCAGUUGAUGACUUUCUUCUCAGGAGGCAGGAACCGAGACUGUCGCAGGCCCAUACGCAUCUGCCUCCGCUCAUGGGCCCACUGCCAAACGUGGAAUCUUGCCCGAUGUGUCCUCUCUCAGACAUGCCAUGGCUUCAGAUGCUUCUUUCGCAAGCCAUGCACUUCCAUGCUUCCUACGUUUUCCUCCCCACUGCCGUGCCAUCGGCUGCAACGUUUCUGCUGUCCGCCAUUCACCCUUCUCAUAUGUACCUUUGGCCACACGUGCAAUCUACCUAAGCAUCCCUUCUCCCAAACACUCCACUCUGUCCCUUGUUUCCCCUGGCAAGCAUCCCAUCUUCUCAGGUAUUUCUCCUGCCACAUAUUUAAUCGUCUUCAUAUGUUACCUUCCCAGGCCCUGCAUCCUUCCCAGCUCAUCCUCCCGCCCACCCCGCAAUCCUCUCAGAUGCUACCACCACCCCACCGGGCAAUCUCCCAAGGCGCUCCUUCUGCUGUCCGUCCAACGUUCUCAGGUCUUCCUUCUUCCCAGUGUGCAAUCUUCCUGGAUGGGCCUUCUGCCACACGUUCACAUCUGAUCUGGCAGGUGUUUCUUCUGCCAAACAUGCAAUCCUGUCAGACGUUCCUGUCACUCACGGUAGCUGGUCUGACGUGAGCAUGGUACCAGGGGGUCUCCCUACCUCCAUCAGGAAUGUCAGACCACCAUGAGGUGACUGUCACGUGGUUCUUGAACCCUAUCUAUGGAGGAAAACCGCUCACAGCCAGCCAGUGCCAAGGAAGGGCAGGCUCCCAAUGGACGGAAGCGCAGGAAAGUGGACAUCAGCAGCCUCCCUCUGAGAUCCCAGGAGUCAGGCAUGUGGGCUCACACAGGACCCCCUGACAGCCACACUGGCGGGGUUCAGCAGCUCUGUCUCCUUCCUCUGAGAACACUCGACAGGUAGAGGAUGUACACCUCAAGUGAGCACACCUAAGCCUCCAGGUAUGGCAUUGCGGCUGUCACACCCCCCGCCCACAAGCUGACAGGCCGCGAUGCCAGUCAACAGCCCCACCCAAGGGAAGGAUCAGUGGAGAGGCAACAAUGCCACCCCCAAAACCUACCAAUGGAGGAGACCCCAAGUCGAAGGUCAAACCCUGCACUCUGUCCCUUAGGUUGCCCGCUUCGCCCUCUUCCAACUGUAUCUUGCUUGCUUUCCUUCCUGCUCCAAAGUGCUGAAGCAGCUUUCACUCCUGCUCUUCACCCUGCCUUCCUCUUACGCCCCAGGGCCAACUUCUUAGGGGGCUUUUGGGGCAGUCUGUCCCACCACCUGCAUAGGGCCUCAUUCUGUGGCUCUUUGGGACCCCAUCUACUUGCUCAUUUCCAGUCAGCACCCCUCUGGGAAGAGCAAAGAUUCUUCCUUCACGCCAGGCGCGUUUUCACCCCAAGCCACAAGUGCUCCAGAGGUUACUACCUUUCUUCAGGUAGGCAUUAAACAUGGCCCUCUCGAGUGCGAGGGCAGCUCUUUUGGCGAGCGCAACAAGGCUUUCCAUGAGUCUUCCUCUCUCGCUUCCUCCUGCUUCAGUCUGUAGCCUGUUUCUCUACUCCCAGCCGCACCCUUCUCCAGAUGCUUUCAGACCUUCUAGGUCCUAUCUGAAGGGAGAAAUUUCCAGCUCCCUUGCAGCAGCUAGCUGAAAAACAGGCUCCUCGUCUAGUGUGAGAAUCUAGGAAACAGGAAUCAGACAGCAGAGAUCAUCAUUGUCUUGCUGGAAUGCUCUCAGCCACAGUCACUCUCAUGUCACAGACACAAGGACAGAGACCGGACCAAGGCCGCAGGCGCAACAGAUCCAUAGCACCGAGACAAAGGCUGAUCCCAGGCUAACACAUGACCAUUAGAGCAGGGAUGUAGGCAAGGCCAGGGGUACAUGGUAACACCGGUUCAUUCCGGGCUCCCAGGGAUGAACAGGCCUCCCCCGAUCCCAUUCACUCCAGCACCUCCUCUCUUCUCCAGUGGGUGAUCAUGACAAGAUGGGAAUGGGGUUAGCGGGGACACAGUAAGGCCAAUGCUUCCCGGAGCCCUAAGGCCAAAUUGGGGACGCUGUAUUCAGGAUCCUAGGAAAGUCAAGAGAGCCCAAGCACGUUGGAGAAGGUCCUUGUAAGCUGCCAGAAACAUUCUCAAAAGGGGACCCGGGAAACAAAUGCCAUGCGGUUUGAAAGGUUGUUAGGUCUGUUAAACACUUCCACAACGGACGCUUUACCAGAGGCCGGUCGGGAGUAUUUGCUUACGUGUCAUCUCUGACUGCUUUCACGCUGCUACGGCGUGAACGGAGACCAUGAUACCUAUGAGUGUUUUCCACCUGGCCCUUUACAGGAAGAGCUAGCCAAUCCCUGCAUCGUGCCAUGACCAGAAUGCCCUAAUACUGACUGCUCAUCUUCUGACUCCCCUGCUCAAAAGCUUCCCAUGAAUCUCUGCAGGAAACCUGGUUGGCUCCCUAUCCACAGCCAUUGUUUCUUCUCACUGGAGAAACACAAUUUUAUUUGGA